GAGUGCUUAAAAGCGGAGAACCUUUGCCAGCUGUGGUCAGAGGGAGUCGUGACUGUGGAAGAAAGGCACAGAGAGACUCAACGCUGCUGGCUUUGAAGAUGGAGGAAGAGGGCCCUGAGCCAAGGAAUGCAGUGGGCCUGUAGAAGCUGGAAAAGCUCUUCAGAACCUGAAAGGCAGCAUAGCUCCUGGGAUUGUGUGUGUGUUAUACACCGGCUAAGGAGGAAGAUGAUUUGUUUCGGGCUGUGCAGAGUGAGUGAAGAUGGAGCUGCAGUUAGUGUCCAUGGAACAGAUGCAACACUAUCUGCCUCACCCUAACUGUGACUAUCCUCUCACUGGUUGGCAGGGCUUGAAGGAAGAAACGUAAUCCACCCAAGCUCCCAGCAAGCAGCAAGCAGGAGUCCCAAGAGGCAGGACCAGGAUCUCAUAGCAAAGUGGAAUUCAUCUCUAAAAAGAGGUUUAUGGCUGACCAGACUUCAUCAGUUCAGAUAUGUCUGCCCCCAUAGGGAAGUACAUGGUUGUAUAUUUCAGUUGUGGGUCCUUCUAGUUGUGGCAUGGGGGAUGCUGCCUCAGUGUGGCCUGAUGAGCAGUGCCAUGUCCAUGCCCAGGAUCUGAACCAGCAAAAUCCUGUGCCGCGAAGUGGAGCACACGAACUUAACUACUCGGCCAUGGGACCAGCCCCAGAAGUUUAUUUUUGUUUCACAUAGAAGAAGUUCUGAUGUAGACAGUCAAGAGCCUGUGAACUAUCUCCAUGGUUUGUUCAGGGACCCAGUUCUGAUAUGUCUUAUAGUCAAUAUUAGGCUUCCAUCCUCAAAGUUACUUUAUGCUCCAAUAAGGCUGCUGGAGUGCCAGGCAUCACUUCACAUUCCAAGUGUGCAGCAGGUAGAGGAAAAGGACAAAAUGCCUUCCUCCCAGCUAAGUCAGCUGUCUUUGAGUAGACUAAAGGUAUUGUUAAAUAAAUGUUCAUAUAUCCAUAAAACAGGAAAAGUUCUAUGAAGGCAAGACCCGUGUCUGUUUUGUUUAUCAGUGCAUCCUCAAGAGCUAGUA
This 1044-nucleotide long non-coding RNA is filed under the name Equus asinus (donkey). Its description in RNAcentral is "lncRNA (ENSEASG00005029429.1)". Lineage: Eukaryota; Metazoa; Chordata; Mammalia; Perissodactyla; Equidae. The record is from RNAcentral.